UGCAGCCCCAAUCGGGCG
RNAcentral lists this small nuclear RNA (18 nucleotides) under Arabidopsis thaliana (thale cress). RNAcentral's name for it is "snRNA_11530". Lineage: Eukaryota; Viridiplantae; Streptophyta; Magnoliopsida; Brassicales; Brassicaceae. The record is from RNAcentral.